AAUAAGUGUAGUUUUACAUUAUUCAUAUUCAACAUUUGACCGUUCGUAUUAAUUGAAAUUUUUUAUGAUUAGUAUUUUUAUUGUUAUUAGAUGAUAAAAAAUAAAUAGUACUUUACGUGUAAAUAUUUUUUUUCUUAUUUUUUUAAAUAAGACGAAUGGUUAAACGUUGAAUAUGUAUAUCCACGAGCCACAACUACA
This 198-nucleotide microRNA precursor is filed under the name Oryza nivara. Its description in RNAcentral is "MIR812 microRNA precursor family". It matches the Rfam family "MIR812 microRNA precursor family". The record is from Rfam by way of RNAcentral. Lineage: Eukaryota; Viridiplantae; Streptophyta; Magnoliopsida; Poales; Poaceae.